AUACGUAGGGGGCGAGCGUUGUCCGGAAUGAUUGGGCGUAAAGGGCGCGUAGGCGGCCCGGUAAGUCUGGAGUGAAAGUCCUGUUUUUAAGAUGGGAAUUGCUUUGGAUACUGUCGGGCUUGAGUGCAGGAGAGGUAAGUGGAAUUCCCAGUGUAGCGGUGAAAUGCGUAGAGAUUGGGAGGAACACCAGUGGCGAAGGCGACUUACUGGACUGUAACUGACGCUGAGGUGCGAAAGUGUGGGGAGCAAACAGGAUUAGAUACCCUGGUAGUCCACACUGUAAACGAUGAAUGCUAGGUGUAGGGGGUAUCGACCCCUUCUGUGCCGCAGUCAACACAAUAAGCACUCCGCCUGGGGAGUACGGCCGCAAGGUUGAAACUCAAAGGAAUUGACGGU
RNAcentral lists this ribosomal RNA (396 nucleotides) under uncultured bacterium. Its description in RNAcentral is "partial 16S ribosomal RNA". It matches the Rfam family "Bacterial small subunit ribosomal RNA", at positions 523 to 917 of the family's 1533-position model. The record is from RNAcentral.